UACGUAGGGGGCAAGCGUUGUCCGGAUUUAUUGGGCGUAAAAGGCUUGUAGGUGGCCACGCCAAGUCGGAUGUGAAAUCUCCCGGCUCAACUGGGAGGGGUCAUUCGAUACUGGCGGGCUCGAGGCCGGUAGGGGGAAGUGGAAUUCCUGGUGUAGCGGUGAAAUGCGCAGAUAUCGGGAGGAACACCAGUGGCGAAGGCGGCGAUCUGGGAAGAUACUGACGCUGAGGUGCGAAAGCGUGGGGAGCAAACAGG
Molecule: ribosomal RNA, 254 nt
Filed under: uncultured bacterium
Lineage: Bacteria
Description: partial 16S ribosomal RNA
Rfam family: Bacterial small subunit ribosomal RNA
Source: RNAcentral